GUGAAUCAUCAAAUUUUUGAACGCAAAUUGAGCCGUUUUCGGAAGGCAUGUCUGUUUGAGGGCCCCAUUUAACAGAUAAUGUGCAGCGUUUUUUGUUGCACACGUUGAUGAGCUUUCCAAGUAUUUUAAAUUUUUGGUGGCGCAUAAUGAACAGCGUGAAUGAUAUUUUUAGUUCGAGUGAAGUAAAAU
This 189-nucleotide unclassified non-coding RNA is filed under the name Paraglomus sp. RNAcentral describes it as "partial contains 5.8S ribosomal RNA and internal transcribed spacer 2". The record is from RNAcentral. Lineage: Eukaryota; Fungi; Glomeromycota; Glomeromycetes; Paraglomerales; Paraglomeraceae.